UACGUAGGGUGCGAGCGUUGUCCGGAAUUAUUGGGCUUAAAGCGCUCGUAGGCGGUGUGUCACGUCGGCCGUGAAAACCUGCAGCUUAACUGUGGGCGUGCGGUCGAUACGGGCAUCACUGGAGUUCGGCAGGGGAGACUGGAAUUCCUGGUGUAGCGGUGAAAUGCGCAGAUAUCAGGAGGAACACCGGUGGCGAAGGCGGGUCUCUGGGCCGAUACUGACGCUGAGGAGCGAAAGCGUGGGGAGCAAACAGG
Molecule: ribosomal RNA, 254 nt
Filed under: uncultured bacterium
Lineage: Bacteria
Description: partial 16S ribosomal RNA
Rfam family: Bacterial small subunit ribosomal RNA
Source: RNAcentral